This 872-nucleotide long non-coding RNA is filed under the name Ficedula albicollis (Collared flycatcher). Its description in RNAcentral is "lncRNA (ENSFALG00000025759.1)". The record is from RNAcentral. Lineage: Eukaryota; Metazoa; Chordata; Aves; Passeriformes; Muscicapidae.
AUAAAAUGUUUGGCUGAAAGGUUUGGGAACUCUCGUGCUCCAGGGCAGGGGGAUCCCAGCCGAAUUCCCGUUAUUCCCAGCUCUAAAACUCCCCGUUUUUCCUCUCCCGAAGCCGUCACUCACCCCUGGCGCCGAUGCCGCCCCGGCCCAUGGCUCCGCCCCGGCCCAGCCCGCCCCUGCCCGGGCCCCCGCGGCCUCGCAGCGCUCCGGCUCCUCCUCCUCGCCGCAGCCCCAUGCGCGGGGCCAGGCCGCGCCCGCCGCGCAGCAGCGCCUGCCCUGCGGAGAGACGGAGAACGGGAGUGCAGUGAGGGGACACGGGAGUGCAGUGAGGGGACACGGGAGUGCAGUGAGGGGACACGGGAGUGCAGUGAGGGGACACGGGAGUGCAGUGAGGGGACACGGGAGUGCAGUGAGGGGACACGGGAGUGCAGUGAGGGGACACGGGAGUGCAGUGAGGGGACACGGGAGUGCAGUGAGGGGACACGGGAGUGCAGUGAGGGGACACGGGAGUGCAGUGAGGGGACACGGGAGUGCAGUGAGGGGACACGGGAGUGCAGUGAGGGGACACGGGAGUGCAGUGAGGGGACACGGGAGUGCAGUGAGGGGACACGGGAGUGCAGUGAGGGGACACGGGAGUGCAGUGAGGGGACACGGGAGUGCAGUGAGGGGACACGGGAACGGAGUGCAGUGAGGGGACACGGGAGUGCAGUGAGGGGACACGGGAACGGAGUGCAGUGAGGGGACACGGGAACGGGAGAGCAGUGAGGGGACACGGGAACGGGAGUGCAGUGAGGGGACACGGGAGCCCCCCCCCCCCCCCCCCCCCCCCCCCCCCCCCCCCCCCCCCCCCCCCCCCCCCCCCCCCCCCCCCC